Molecule: ribosomal RNA, 489 nt
Filed under: uncultured bacterium
Lineage: Bacteria
Description: partial 16S ribosomal RNA
Rfam family: Bacterial small subunit ribosomal RNA
Source: RNAcentral
AAUGAACGUUGGCGGCGUGGAUUAGGCAUGCAAGUCGAGCAAGAACCGUAGCAAUACGGGGACAGCGGCGAAAGGGAGAGUAAUACGUGGAUACGUACCCUCGGGUCCGGGAUAGCCGCGGGAAACUGCGGGUAAUACCGGACGACAUCUCCGGAUCAAAGGUGUGAUUCCGCCCGAGGAGCGGUCCACGUCCUAUUAGCUAGUUGGCGAGGUAACGGCUCACCAAGGCUGUGAGGGGUACGGGGUGUGAGAGCAUGCCCCCGCUCACUGGGACUGAGACACUGCCCAGACACCUACGGGUGGCUGCAGUCGAGAAUCUUCGGCAAUGGGCGCAAGCCUGACCGAGCGACGCCGCGUGCGAGAUGAAGGCCUUCGGGUUGUAAAUCGCUGUCAGAGGGGAGGAAAUAUCGGGAAGUAAUUCAUAAUCGACCCGGUUUGACCUAUCCUCAGAGGAAGGACGGGCUAAGUUCGUGCCAGCCGCCGCCGUAA